GAUGAACGCUGGCGGCGUGCCUAAUACAUGCAAGUCGAGCGAACAGACGAGAAGCUUGCUCCUCUGACGUUAGCGGCGGACGGGUGAGUAACACGUGGAUAACCUACCUAUAAGACUGGGAUAACUUCGGGAAACCGGAGCUAAUACCGGAUAAUAUAUUGAACCGCAUGGUUCAAUAGUGAAAGACGGUUUUGCUGUCACUUAUAGAUGGAUCCGCGCUGCAUUAGCUAGUUGGUAAGGUAACGGCUUACCAAGGCAACGAUGCGUAGCCGACCUGAGAGGGUGAUCGGCCACACUGGAACUGAGACACGGUCCAGACUCCUACGGGAGGCAGCAGUAGGGAAUCUUCCGCAAAGGGCGAAAGCCUGACGGAGCAACGCCGCGUGAGUGAUGAAGGUCUUCGGAUCGUAAAACUCUGUUAUUAGGGAAGAACAUAUGUGUAAGUAACUGUGCACGUCUUGACGGUACCUAAUCAGAAAGCCACGGCUAACUACGUG
RNAcentral lists this ribosomal RNA (497 nucleotides) under uncultured bacterium. RNAcentral describes it as "partial 16S ribosomal RNA". It matches the Rfam family "Bacterial small subunit ribosomal RNA", at positions 28 to 507 of the family's 1533-position model. The record is from RNAcentral.